RNAcentral lists this ribosomal RNA (406 nucleotides) under uncultured bacterium. RNAcentral describes it as "partial 16S ribosomal RNA". It matches the Rfam family "Bacterial small subunit ribosomal RNA", at positions 29 to 526 of the family's 1533-position model. The record is from RNAcentral.
AUUGAACGCUGGCGGCAGGCCUAACACAUGCAAGUCGAGCGAGCGGGGGGCGGGUGAGUAAAGUCUGUGGAACUGCCUCAGGGAGGGGGAUAAAUACUGGAAACGGGGUAGAAUAUCGCGUACCAACAGAGAUGUCCAGAUGGGAUUUGCUAGUGGGUGGGGUAACUGCUCACCUAGGCGACGAGCCCUAGCUGGUCUGUGAGGAUGAGCAGGCGCACUGGAACGGAGACACGGUCCAGACUCCUACGGGAGGCAGCAGUGGGGAAUAUUGCACAAUGGGCGCAAGCCUGAUGCAGCCAUGCCGCGUGUGUGAAGAAGGCCUUCGGGUUGUAAAGCACUUUCAGCGGGGAGGCGUUACCCGCAGAAGAAGCACCGGCUAACUCCGUGCCAGCAGCCGCGGUAAUAC